GGAAAGGUGAGAUGUGACGACUGACGAAUAAAUGAUGCGAUGUGACGGCAACACAAAAAUCAGAGGUACACCACCCAAAUGAUGGCAAAAUGUUCCCUAAGCGACGACAACGCACACUGCCCGAAGGUGACGCAUAGUGCCCAAAGGGGCAGCACGCACUCCUGUGGCAACGCCCACUGCUCCAGCUUGCCACGCCCGAUGGGCCUAGCCUGUUCAGUGCACAGGCCUACUGCACGCAAGCCUACUGUGCGCAGGCCUACUACACGGACGAUGUGCAUGCCCGUCUGCGCACAAUGGGAUG
Molecule: long non-coding RNA, 301 nt
Filed under: Carica papaya (papaya)
Lineage: Eukaryota; Viridiplantae; Streptophyta; Magnoliopsida; Brassicales; Caricaceae
Description: long non-coding RNA (CPAP_LNC014864)
Source: RNAcentral